GACAGAGGUUGCAAACGUUGUUCGGAAUUACUGGGCAUAAAGCGCACGUAGGUGGUCCGCUAAGUCGAUUGUGAAAUUCCCCGGCUCAACCGGGGAACGGCACUCGAUACUGGCGGGCUUGAGGUCCGGAGGGGUGAGUGGAACUCCUGGUGGAGCGGUGAAAUGCGUAGAUAUCAGGAGGAACACCGGUGGCGAAAGCGGCUCACUGGCCGGAAUCUGACACUGAGGUGCGAAAGCUAGGGUAGCAAACGGG
This 253-nucleotide ribosomal RNA is filed under the name uncultured bacterium. Its description in RNAcentral is "partial 16S ribosomal RNA". It matches the Rfam family "Bacterial small subunit ribosomal RNA", at positions 524 to 776 of the family's 1533-position model. The record is from RNAcentral.